RNAcentral lists this transfer RNA (61 nucleotides) under Chattonella subsalsa. RNAcentral's name for it is "partial tRNA". The record is from RNAcentral. Lineage: Eukaryota; Raphidophyceae; Chattonellales; Chattonellaceae.
GUGAUAGCUCAGAUGGUAGAGCGGGGCGGUGGUCUUACAAUCAUAAAGUCGCAGGUUUGAG